This 229-nucleotide ribosomal RNA is filed under the name uncultured bacterium. RNAcentral describes it as "partial 16S ribosomal RNA". It matches the Rfam family "Bacterial small subunit ribosomal RNA", at positions 568 to 796 of the family's 1533-position model. The record is from RNAcentral.
UCCGUAGGUGGAUAAUUAAGUCAGGGGUGAAAGUCUGCAGCUCAACUGUAGAAUUGCCUUUGAUACUGGUUAUCUUGAAUUAUUAUGAAGUAGUUAGAAUAUGUAGUGUGGCGGUGAAAUGCAUAGAUAUUACAUAGAAUACCAAUUGCGAAGGCAGAUUACUAAUAAUAUAUUGACACUGAUGGACGAAAGCGUGGGGAGCGAACAGGAUUAGAUACCCUGGUAGUCC